This 1489-nucleotide unclassified non-coding RNA is filed under the name uncultured fungus. RNAcentral describes it as "sequence contains 18S rRNA gene, ITS1, 5.8S rRNA gene, ITS2, 28S rRNA gene". The stretch from base 391 to 1489 matches the Rfam family "Eukaryotic large subunit ribosomal RNA", at positions 1 to 961 of the family's 3401-position model. Lineage: Eukaryota; Fungi. The record is from RNAcentral.
GGAAGGAUCAUUAACACUUACUGGAUUCGUCCCUUUUACCACCUGUGGAACAUUUUGUCUACCCUUUUUCACCAACCUCGAAACGAAACAAUAUUGGAAUUUUAUUAAAAAUUACAACUCUUAGCAAUGGAUAUCUUGGUUCACACAACGAUGAAGAACGCAGCGAAAUGCGAUACGUAAUGCGAAUUGCAGAAUUCAGUGAAUCAUCAAAUCUUUGAACGCAAGUUGCGCUCUUGGGAUACGCCCGAGAGCAUGCCUCUUUGAGUAUCGGUUUCUGUUUAUUUUUUUAUACUGGGAUUUUGCCUCGUCUGCAGGUAAUAUUUUCAAACUCGCCCCAACCCGUGAUCGUUUGGGAAUAUAUAUCGACGCGGUGAGCCCACCAAAAAAUACAGAUCUCAAAUGAGGUAAGACUACCCGCUGAAUUUAAGCAUAUAAUUAAGCGGAGGAAAAGAAACUAACAAGGAUUCCCUCAGUAACGGCGAGUGAAGCGGGAAGAGCUCAAACCGAAAAUCUCCGUAGCAAUACGGCGAAUUGUGGUCUAUUGAAGCGUGUCUCAGCGAACGGCCCCGGCCCAAAUCAAUUGGAACAUUGUAUCGGAGAGGGUGAGAAUCCCGUAUCUGGUUGGGUGCCCGUAGCGUACGAGCCGCUCUCGAAGAGUCGGAUUGCUUGGGAGUGCAGUCCUAAGUGGGUGGUAAAUUUCAUCUAAAGCUAAAUAUCUGUGUGAGACCGAUAGCGAACAAGUACCGUGAGGGAAAGAUGAAAAGAACUUUGAAAAGAGAGUUAAAAAGUACUUGAAAUUGCUAAGAACGAAGGGAUGGCGACUAGUAAUGCUCAGGUGUACCCCGUUACGUGCCAAGUCGGUCGGUUGCGCAUUCCGCAAGGUUGCGCUGACGGUCGAUGCAACUCGUGGCGGGUCCGGUGCACUUUGGCAAAGUCAGAAUGGAUUCGGGUGCGGUGGAAAAAUCAGACGGCAAGGUGCCUGCUGGAGCAAUCCGGCAGAACUUAUAGGCCGGCUGAUCGACAUUGUCCCGGAUUGAGGUGAUAAAGCACGCGCUCUAAGCUAAGGUGCCUCGCUCGCUGUCUUGGUGAAACCGUCGGGGAACAAAGUUCCGUUUCGGCCCGGCCAAACACCGUUGCGAACGCUCAUUCGUCGUGCUCAUGAUUCUGACGAAAUGGUCGUCAUUCACCCGUCUUGAAACACGGACCAAGGAGUCUUACAUAUAUGCGAGUAAUCAAGUGGUAAACUUGAAUGCGCAAUGAAAGUGAUUGAAUGUGAGCCCGUUAAACGGCGCAACAUCGGGCGGCUAAAAUAAUUGUACGACCAUGAGCAUAUCUGUAGGGACCCGAAAGAUGGUGAACUAUGCUUGGGCAGGAUGAAGCCAGGGGAAACUCUGGUGGAAGUCCGAAGCGAUACUGACGUGCAAAUCGUUCGUCUGAUCUGAGUAUAGGGGCGAAAGACUAAUCGAACUAUCUAGUAGCUGGUUCCCUC